RNAcentral lists this unclassified non-coding RNA (70 nucleotides) under Thiohalomonas denitrificans. The record is from RNAcentral. Lineage: Bacteria; Pseudomonadati; Pseudomonadota; Gammaproteobacteria; Thiohalomonadales; Thiohalomonadaceae.
AACCGCCUAGUGCGGACCCGCAUGCUAGGUGGUGUGGGGAGGGCGGGCUAAAUACCCGCCCUUACCCGAU